GGGGCUGUGGCUCAUUGGUAGAGCCCUCACCUAGCACAUGUGAGGCACUGGGUUCAAUCCUCAGCGCCACA
RNAcentral lists this transfer RNA (71 nucleotides) under Marmota monax (woodchuck). RNAcentral's name for it is "tRNA.Ala". The record is from RNAcentral. Lineage: Eukaryota; Metazoa; Chordata; Mammalia; Rodentia; Sciuridae.